GCUCGUGUACAUGCUGAUCCUGCUGGAGAAGGCAAGGGAGAGGUCAGAGAAGACUCCCAGGUGGCCGGGAGGAUAGCCAAGGCAGGAAUCUAGGAGCAGAAGAGGGGAGGAGGAGCAGGUCCAGAAAACAAUGCCGACUUUGCACUGGACAUGCAGCAUUGAGCCCCUGGGUACGAGAUAUCCAGCAGCCAGCUGGCAGUGCCAUCUGGAGUGUGGUCUGCUCAGGGUCUCCCAAACUGGCCACGUCAAUUUUUAUAUGUCCUGUCCCUUCUGUUUUGUCCACCUGUGAUGCCUACCCUACUCCGUCUUUACCAUGCAAAUCUUUUUGCUUUUCAAAUUUGCUUUUCAAAUCCCUGUCCCAUGCCAGUUCCUCUCUCAAGCCUCUCCUGGUGGCCUCAAUCCCCUGGCAUUGACCUCCCUGGCAUUCUCAUUAGAUUUUCAUGCACCACCUCUGGGAUGCAUGUUAUGUGCUGUCUGGUUUAAUUAUCAAUUUCAUGUAUGCAGGCCCCAUCUGCUUAUCUAUACCAUUAAUCCCUCAUCUCACUGUGGACAUUCUGUUCUUGUCCUCAGAAGCUUAUGCUAUCAUGGGAACAAAAUUCACAUUUAAAGGCUUGAAAGUGAGCUCAGAUUUGCAUUCUCACUGAUAUUAGAGGGAGAGUAGUAAAUUGGCAUAGUCUUUUGGGAGAAAGUUAAUGAUAUAUGUCAAGAUACGUAACAAUACAUACCUUAAAAGAAUCUAUACCUUUGACCCCCAAAUUCUCCCUCCUAUGAAAAUAAUUAGAAUAUGGACAAUGACUUAUAUGAAGAUAUUUAUCAUAACAUUAUUUGCAAUAAUAGAAAAGAAUUUGAAGUGACAUGUCCAACAAGAAGGGAAUGGUUUUGAGAAAUCAUGAUACUUUAUGACUGCAUAAGCACUAUUAUGACAGUCUUCUAGAACCAUCAUAAAAGAUGUUUCUGAACAAGUUCAUGACAUGGGAAAAUGCCUGAUACAAUGUUAAAUGGAAGCAGACAGGAUAUAAGACUGCAUAUGGAUUGCAAUUUUAUUUUGGUGAUUUCUAGUGCCACGCUCCUAGAUCAGAACAUCAUUGAGGCAAUGGGGCCAACUGGACGCCACUGAAGACUAGCCAGCAGCACAGUGGAUGCAUGCUAUCAUGAAGGCAUCACUCUGACAGCAAUGUACAAGUCAGGAGGAAUGCAGAACUGUUGUCGCUACUGUGGCUGUUACACACUAUGACUUGGCCAAGUUUGGCAAUCACACCAGUGUCACCUUAAAACCGUGGCUGUCAAGUAGUGAAUGUCGAGCAUGGCUAAAUGUCGGGGAGGAGGUGCAGUCACACUGCUGCCAAUCUGAGCCUGCAAAUUCUGCAGAACAAGUUGACCUGGAUCACGUUUUUAUAAAUAAGUGUUAUUUCGUUCAGUCCCAUCUGCAUCCUGAAGACACAAACUGGUGCCUGUUUAAUUGGGCCCUCUUCUCAUGUCUCAUUUCUCUCCCUGCCUCACAAAGCCCUGCUGGUACUGAUAGCACGGUGGUGACCUGAGAGAAUUCGGAAGGAGAGUUUGGAAUUAAAGAAUGUGUCCCAGAGGAUGCAUGAUCCAGGACCACCAGUGGCCGUAAAGAGGAACUAACAUGAAGUAUUAGUUGCAUAGGUAUCCAGAGGCCGUCAGUUCUUCAGAUAAUAAAUGUCAGUUCUCUGAAGACGGAGACCUUUCCUGUCAGAUAAUUACUGUACUCCAGAGCCAAGCACCAAGUCCAUGGCCGAUGCUUGCCCUUGUUCUUCUAAACCAUGACAAACUGCAAAAAGAUCCAGAGCUGCUCUCUGAGUCACUGGAGGAGCUGCUGCCGCUGCUGCUACUGCCACUGCUGCUGCCCUUGCUGGAAGGCACAGAGGCUCUGCAGUUGGCCUGCUGGACCACGGUGCUGCCAGCCCACGAGGCCCCCCGGGAAGAAGAGGGAAGGAAAGCCAAGUGAGCAAACACAAAACGCCGCCACCGAGCAAGCAAGCUGUCAUUCGACCAAAGGAGAGAAGCAGCACACUGGCUGCGUGUCUGUCAACCAUCACCUGGAGCCUGAAGAGCAAUCAUCAGGAAGUGGGCUGCAAGGAAGGGCACAGCAUUCUGCUCUGUGCUUUCAUGGCCUGUUGAAAGGUUCUAGAGACUGGAGCAUCAACAAAGUUAUAUAGUCCUACUUCCUACCUCUUCCUGCCCAUGGAGUUGAGUGCUGGAGUGUUUGUAGGAGCUGGCUUGCUGUAUAAACAGUAACUUUCCUUUUGAGCCCUUCAUUAAAGAACUGAAGCUUCAACCUUUACCCAUUUUCAUAUAUUCCACACUUUAAAAUUUAACCCCAGUGUGGUGGCUUAUAGUAACAGCAUUUCAAAUGUUCAAAUGUUUUAAACGUUCAAAUGCUUGAUGUUCAUAUCCAUGCUGAAAUUUGCCAGAAGUCAUCAUUAUAUACUCAAAGACAACAGGAAAAGUGGGCAGUUUGUAAUGGUAAUUAAUCACAAAAAUGCAAAUAGGACAUACCAACCCAGAGAGUGUUUGAGCCAAAAAGGAAGUUUCGGUACUCACAUACUAUACAACAUCUUCAGAGUCCUUUAUUAACUGCAUUGCAACACGCCUGAAUCUGUUCUUUUGAGGUCAAAUUCUGAACCCAGAAAAUGCAGUGGUCACUUUUUAAUGUUGAGUCAGCAAGUAUCUGCUUGCCACUUCCAACUGUGACUACUGUUUCAUCAGGACUGGACUUCAGGGAAAGCCAGGGGUGAGCGGAGCUUGUCAGGGUUUAUGGCCCUAAGUGCGAAGCAGCCUAGACAAGGUGAACCAUCCUUUCACCUACCCCUUAAAUCUCUGACAAGUGUCUUUGCCCAAGGACAGAUUCUCAUAAAUCCUCAGUGUGGGGGCAGGGAGGGAGGUUAAUAUUCAUUGAGCCUUACUUCUUCUAGAAGAAUGACCAGCCAAGAAGCUAUCUUGCAGGAUACAUCUGAAAAUGGAAGCAUCGUUUUGAACUACAGGGUUAGAUAGAGAAAAGUGGAGCCAGAACAUAACCUUCCCUUGUGGGGGAACAUUGUUUGGUGGGAACAUUUCUCCCACCAAAGUCAUGGUCCACUCCUACUGUCUGACAAAAUUCUUCAACAUCAGACAACACCAGCACAUUUAUGCCUUGCCUGAGCUGUAGUGGUUUCUUUACCAGGCUACUGUUUGUGUCUGGUGUUCAGAGAGGAAUCCCGGAUCUUUAGACAGAGGUGGGAAAGGGAAUGUUAGUGAUCAAAGGGCUGUAAUAUUUCUUUCUUCCUUUAUGAACUAAAAUCCAUUUUUCCUGUUGGCUGAGUAGAGAUGGCUACUAUCAAUGGAGUCAUAAAAAAAAAAAAACAACUAUUAGAUUC
Canis lupus familiaris (dog) is the source of this 3377-nucleotide long non-coding RNA. RefSeq lists it as uncharacterized. NCBI's taxonomy places the organism in Eukaryota, Metazoa, Chordata, Mammalia, Carnivora, Canidae. The transcript has 8 exons. The record is from RefSeq and is a predicted model, not a curated record.